This 1596-nucleotide long non-coding RNA is filed under the name Triticum aestivum (bread wheat). RNAcentral's name for it is "long non-coding RNA (TAES_LNC005616)". The record is from RNAcentral. Lineage: Eukaryota; Viridiplantae; Streptophyta; Magnoliopsida; Poales; Poaceae.
GUCUCUGUUGUUUGAAGGCAAGGUGCUCGGGAAUGAGCCACUGGCUAAAUCGUUUGGUGAUCUCAAGGAUGUGUGCUCUGAUGUGGGAAACGUGGUCGACGACAAGCUCUGACUACUACAGGCUCCAACAAGUUAGAAUUAAUUUAGUUGUGGUUUUAUAUUGCAAAACACGGUGAAAUUAGAAUUUAUCCGGGUUUCUUUGUUUAGGUGGUGCUGUAGAAAUAGCAAUGUCGAUGCUACUGUCAAUUGUUUUGUUCAGUUCGUACGUGCUACUAAAGAUGCACUCGAUCUGCCUUUGCUCGGUUCCUGAAAAUUGCUACGUUGAUUUUGUUUUGAAUUUGCAAGCAUGUAGAUUAAAUCCAAAUGUCCAAUGAUAAGAAAAUAUUAACCUUUUAUCUAUAGAAGUGUACACCGAAAUAUCACCGAUUUGCCAAGACUACAGAUUUUUGUUAUUAUUUUUGUUAAUCGCAUUAGAUAAUUACGGCUAUUUGGAUUAGUCUUCAAUCCUAAUGCUUUGAAAAUGAAAGCAAUAGUUCUAUAUACCUUCUAAUCACUGGGGUUCUUGUGUUAUCCUUCCUAGAAUUGUUUAUUAUCUUCAAUCUUUAUCUUCAUGCUUCUAUUCUGAACCAAUAAACUUGAACAGCUACAAGAAGCAUCUUUCCAUGGAGCUUAAAUACCUUUUCCAAUACAUAGUUAAUCAACCGACGAAAGGAUUGGGUAUUGAGCUUCUUGUACUUGAGGUUUGUUGUCUAUGUCGAAACUUUCUUGCUGUCUGAAGUUUAAAUUGAUGUACCAUGUAGAAACUCUUCAGCAAAUGGCAAAUGUACAGUACACUAAGAACAUGACUGAUGAACAGGAUGCUAUGUCAGGAAGUGAAACGUUGUGGCUUCAAGGAGUGAAGUAAUUGGAUUGGGAUCAUGGAGUAAAUCAAACGAGGAUGCAACUCAUGUUCGUGUAGGUGAGACACUUAUUAACUCUGUAGCAAAUAGUUCACAUGGUACAGCUAGCUGUGGUGCAGAGGGUAGAUAGUUUUAGUACUCAGACUUUCAGUUGCUGCUAGCUCUACUCUGCUGUCCUUUCGUAAUGGCAAUGUAGCAGCUGUGUGAUACGUUUGCAACACGGAGUCUUCACUGCAUAUUACCUACCGGAACCGAUAUGUGUUUGUCGACAUAAAAUUCUAACUUGAAUUUGCUAUUCAGGUGGCAAAUCCAAUAAUUUAUGUAGUGUAUUUGCAUUUUGCAAGAUAAUUUGGCUGCCAAAGUGCUACAUCGUAUCUCACUGGACCUAUUGAGUAAGUGGUAAUUUUUCAUUUAUAUAUCAUUCAAAUUUCUAUAUGCACUGUUCAUAGAUUCCUUGCAUUGUUCAGUUACCAAUUUUCGUAAGGGUCAUACUUAUUGGACCAUGGCACACCCUGCCAAUGCAGGUUGCUUCCAUGACCAUACUUCAAAUAGGGGUAUAUUAGUUUGUCUCUCAUCAUCAACUUUGGACCCUCUUUACGUGUGCAUUUUUUUUCAAAGCGUACUCGUACAAAAUAAACUGUAUUGGUUUUCAGUUUAUAUCUGUCCAUGGUUAUGCUCACAUCACAAAUUUUGACAG